This 253-nucleotide ribosomal RNA is filed under the name uncultured bacterium. RNAcentral describes it as "partial 16S ribosomal RNA". It matches the Rfam family "Bacterial small subunit ribosomal RNA", at positions 524 to 776 of the family's 1533-position model. The record is from RNAcentral.
UACGAGUGCCCCGAGCGUUAUCCGGAAUCAUUGGGCGUAAAGGGUGUGUAGGUGGCAGUGUUAGUCGAUUGUUAAAACCUGGGGCUCAACCCCAGAUGUGCGAUCGAAACGGCACAGCUAGAGGAUGCGAGGGAUGUAUGGAACUCAUGGAGUAGGGGUGAAAUCCGUUGAUAUCAUGGGGAACACCAAAAGCGAAGGCAGUACAUUGGCGCACUCCUGACACUGAAACACGAAAGCGUGGGUAGCGAAUGGG